Salmo trutta (river trout) is the source of this 74-nucleotide small nucleolar RNA. NCBI's taxonomy places the organism in Eukaryota, Metazoa, Chordata, Actinopteri, Salmoniformes, Salmonidae. The record is from Ensembl.
CUAUGAUGAACACUAAACUGAAAUAGCUAGAAUUACCAUCAGAUUGUAUAGUGGUGCCAUUCAGUUUUCUGAGA